Cotesia glomerata is the source of this 198-nucleotide long non-coding RNA. RefSeq lists it as uncharacterized. NCBI's taxonomy places the organism in Eukaryota, Metazoa, Arthropoda, Insecta, Hymenoptera, Braconidae. The record is from RefSeq and is a predicted model, not a curated record. The transcript has 2 exons.
GAUGGUUAUAUUCGAUAAAUUACUGAUUAUUUUGGAUUCAUUGAGUUUGGACCGAAAAUCGACGAUUUUCCGAAUGAGAGUACUUUCUUAAGAAAUCACUGUAUAAACAUGGCUUGCACAAAUUCUGAUGGUUGAAUUUGAAGAAUUAUAGAUAACUUUGGAGUUAUUGCGAUUGACCGAAAAUCGACGAUAUUCCGA